UCCUGUGCUCACCUAACAGCCGGGGUCUGCAGGGGCCGAUCAGCUCCCGGAAGAAGAGAGCUGGGCAUAGCGAGCACUUGAAGUGUCCACCACAAUGGCCCCAGACAUUUUGUUGAUGCAUACAGAAAGGAGGCGCCGGCCUGGAUGGGAAGACUGAAUCUGUCGGCCCAGAAGAGUGUGAAGAAUCACAGCCCUCCUUCAGGACUCUUGUUUCCAGAUCUCGGGGUGGCGGAUGAGGGCUCUCCAUGUCCUUCCUCAGCAAGUGGACAGUAAAGGUACCAAGGAGUCCUGGGACCUUCGAGGGGUGGCGUGAUGAAAGCAGAAGCGCGUUGGGGCUGUGGCCUCUCGUCUGCAGGGACUGCCGUGGGAUCCGGCGGCCAUGACAUGAGAAGAUACCCUGGAAGCUUCAGCAGCCCACUCUGGCCCGGCGGCCACCGUAUGCGGGCGGCUCCCACCCUCUUCUCCGUCCUCUGAACUUGUAGCUACACAGCAGCGUCUCCCCAGCGUCUCCCAAGCGUCUCCGCUCCCAAGUCUUACGGCUCAAGUUCGGCACAAGCAGACCUGCUGAACCUGCCUCAGCCUUGGUAAAUGGGACCCCAGGCACCAUGACUCCAGCUGGAGACGGAGCCACUGCGGUGCCCCCUGCCCCGGGCACCCCAUGCCCUUUCAUCAGUUCUCUUGGUCCCGUCUUUAAGUAUUUUUCAGACUUGUCCACUUCUUUACUACGGGCUGUAGGCUAGUCUGACUGCCCCAACCCUCUGCUGAACUUAGCUGCCGCUUACUGCCCUUGGUUCCAAUGUACAGCCCUCCCGAGCCUGCCGCCCACAGCCUGCCUCACCUUCGCAGAAACGCUCGGGAUGGUGUAACUGCCCGUGCAGAGCCCUGGCUGGCGUCCAUCCUGCACCAGGACCCCGAUGUGCACUCCCUGCGGCAGCCGGGUCCAGGGUCCUCCUCAAAGCCCUCCCUCCUGCUGUGCUUAGCAGGGAGGGGCCGGCCCUGGGACCCUUCUGGUCCUGUACUGGUCCCAAUUCCUCUGCUCCUGCAGCCCAGCUGCUGAACAGCUCCCAGGAGUCGAGACUGUGGGUCCCUCCCAGCAGCUGGUGGAGAACAGCUCAGCCCAGACUCAGCCGUUUUCAAACAGAUUCCCAUUUUCAGACCAGGACAGUAAGGCCACAGGAGGCCCACCUUGGUUUUCAGAAAGGUUGCUCAUCAACUAUGCUGUUGCUUUCUCUUACAACUUGGGAUUCUAUCAGUUUCCAAACUGUGCAUACAAAUAAAUUCAUAAUAGUAGCAAUAAUCAAAAUUUUAC
RNAcentral lists this long non-coding RNA (1309 nucleotides) under Heterocephalus glaber (naked mole-rat). RNAcentral describes it as "lncRNA (ENSHGLG00100048204.1)". The record is from RNAcentral. Lineage: Eukaryota; Metazoa; Chordata; Mammalia; Rodentia; Bathyergidae.